AAAGAAAGCGUAAUAGCUCACUGGUCGAGUCGGCCUGCGCGGAAGAUGUAACGGGGCUAAACCAUGCACCGAAGCUGCGGCAGCGACGCUGAUGCGUUGUUGGGUAGGGGAGCGUUCUGUAAGCCUGUGAAGGUGUGUCGUGAGGCAUGCUGGAGGUAUCAGAAGUGCGAAUGCUGACAUAAGUAACGAUAAAGCGGGUGAAAAGCCCGCUCGCCGGAAGAC
RNAcentral lists this ribosomal RNA (222 nucleotides) under Salmonella enterica subsp. enterica serovar Kentucky. Its description in RNAcentral is "partial 23S ribosomal RNA". It matches the Rfam family "Bacterial large subunit ribosomal RNA", at positions 1125 to 1345 of the family's 2925-position model. The record is from RNAcentral. Lineage: Bacteria; Pseudomonadati; Pseudomonadota; Gammaproteobacteria; Enterobacterales; Enterobacteriaceae. RNAcentral also lists the same sequence under 1 other name.